This 250-nucleotide ribosomal RNA is filed under the name uncultured bacterium. RNAcentral describes it as "partial 16S ribosomal RNA". It matches the Rfam family "Bacterial small subunit ribosomal RNA", at positions 29 to 305 of the family's 1533-position model. The record is from RNAcentral.
AGCGAACGCUGGCGGCAGGCUUAACACAUGCAAGUCGAACGGACCCUUCGGGGUUAGUGGCGGACGGGUGAGUAACACGUGGGAAUGUGCCUUUAGGUUCGGAACAACACAGGGAAACUUGUGCUAAUACCGAAUGUGCCCUUCGGGGAAAGGAUUUAUUGCCUUUAGAGCAGCCCGCGUCUGAUUAGCUUGUUGGUGAGGUAAAGGACUCACCAAGGCGACGAUCAGUAGCUGGUCUGAGAGGAUGGCC